Molecule: ribosomal RNA, 497 nt
Filed under: uncultured bacterium
Lineage: Bacteria
Description: partial 16S ribosomal RNA
Rfam family: Bacterial small subunit ribosomal RNA
Source: RNAcentral
GACGAACGCUGGCGGCGUGCCUAAUACAUGCAAGUCGAGCGAAAAGGUCAGGAGCUUGCUCCUCUCUCGUUAGCCGCGGACGGGUGAGUAACGCGUGGAUAAUCUACCUGUAAGUGUGGGACAAUUUCGGGAAACCGGCGCUAAUCCCGGAUAAUAUAUUGAACCAUAUGGUUCAAUAGUGAAAGACGGCUUUGCUGUAUUUAAUAGUUGUAUCCCAGCCGCUUUAGCUAGUUGUUAAGUUAACGGCUUACCAAGGCAACGAUGCGUAGCCGACCUGAGAGAGUGAUCGGCCACACUGGAGCGGAGACACGGCCCAGGCUCCUACGGGAGGCACCAGAAGGGAAUCUUCCGCAAGGGGCGAAAGCCUGACGGAGCAAGGCGCAGUAGGUGAUAAAGGUCUUCGGAUCGUAAAACCCUGUUGUGGGGUAAGAACAAAUGUGUAAGUAAAUGUGCACGUAGUGACGGUAACUAAUCAGAAAGCCACGGCUAACUACGUG